CAUCCUCCUGGUUAUAGUACAUCAAAAGUUCGUUAGCAUUAACAUCUUCUCCACCAAUAGCAGCUGCAAGCUCAUGGGCUUCUCCAUUUACUCCUCCACCAUCUCCAACUUCAAAGUCAUCAAUUCCAUUUUCUACAAUGCCAGAGAUUUAUCAUACAAGCCCAAGGAAUUCUCAAAUUGCUUCCCAGUCUCAGAUGUCAUGACAAACUUAUCCUCGCUUGGACAGCCAAAGUAGUCUGGGCCAUUGAAGCAGGGACUCAUGAAGUGCCCUUCCUCUUUCUCAUCAUACCAAUAAGAGUCAUUUUGCAUAUCGAAAUCUGGGUAAUCACGUGCUGUGCCAAACUGAGAGAGCCUGUCAGAUGAAGUUUCUGAAUUAGCCUGCGAUGUGGAAUGAAGUCCAUAUGGAUUUGAGAAUUCUGCAGAAAUGAAAAGGCAUCAGAAUGUUCAAUUGCCCCACCAGCUAAAAUUAAUACAACAGCAGCCCACCUACAAGCACAGAGCACAAAAGAAUAACCAUGGCAAGAUACCAGAAACAAUGCAGAAAUAAUUGGAGUAUUUUAAAGAGUUUUGUAAUUUUGCAAAUACAACAAAAGGUAUUAGUAAUAGUGCAGUUGCUUACUAAGUAUCUCGCUUCCAUUCUGCAUGCAGGCUUCUAUAAAAUGCAUACACCAAAGGAUGGUUAUGCUAUGCAGUGCAUUCUCAAACUUGAUUCCCAGUGAUUAAAUGAAGACAGAAUCGGUGUCUUGAGUAACAUGCUGAUUUUCAUAUUCUGCAGAUGAAGUGAUGAUGGACUAUUGAUGGGGUUGAAAACAGAGAAUAUAUGAUUAGAAAUGAUGAAGAUGAGCCAGUGCGUUAAUAAGAACAGUAGAAUCUGCAAUUUUGCUGAAAUUGAGUGUCAUUUUAGACAUAUAAUAUUUCCAAAUUUGACAGAAAAACAUUUAAGGAAAGUGAAAUAUAAGAAAAGGGCGGUUUUGGUGCUCGGAAUAUAUGCUA
This is a long non-coding RNA of Populus trichocarpa (black cottonwood), 993 nucleotides long. RefSeq lists it as uncharacterized. The transcript has 2 exons. NCBI's taxonomy places the organism in Eukaryota, Viridiplantae, Streptophyta, Magnoliopsida, Malpighiales, Salicaceae. The record is from RefSeq and is a predicted model, not a curated record.